This 444-nucleotide long non-coding RNA is filed under the name Elaeis guineensis (African oil palm). Its description in RNAcentral is "long non-coding RNA (EGUI_LNC018045)". The record is from RNAcentral. Lineage: Eukaryota; Viridiplantae; Streptophyta; Magnoliopsida; Arecales; Arecaceae.
UCCUUACUACUUUAUCUGAGUUUUGCCCCUUCCUCAUGAUGGUUGUGUUCUUUCGGGUCAUUCGAAGCUUUGCUAGCAGGUUAGUUCUUAUGAUUUUUCUUGACCAUUUCUUUGCCUGUCAUUGCUUUCCUCUGUGUCCACUUACUCCUCCUCUUCGCAUUUCUUUUCUCUGCCUCCUUUGGGUUUAUCAUCGUCUAUGGAGAUGGGUAGAUCAGGAAAGGAGUAGGUGGUGCAGGAGCCCUCUGGUUCUCCUUCAAGGGGUGAUUUGGUAGGUCAAGUCCUUGAGCCCAGGGAUGAAAGCUUCACUCCUGAAAAGUAUCACUCGGCCCUAGGCUUAGAUGACCUUAACCUAAUUAGGACCUAGUUUGGCAUCUCUACUGAGUUUGAUUUAGAGCUCCCAGGCCUAUUUGGUAGGAUUUGCAAUCCCCCUAGGUCGGCUCACUC